Long non-coding RNA from Liolophura sinensis, 363 nucleotides. RefSeq lists it as uncharacterized. The transcript has 3 exons. The record is from RefSeq and is a predicted model, not a curated record. Lineage: Eukaryota; Metazoa; Mollusca; Polyplacophora; Chitonida; Chitonidae.
CGGUUUUCGAAAAGUGGCGGAAAUCGUUGUAGUUUGCUAGUUGAUGUCAGAUUUUAAAAACUGUAUCAUAGGAAUCAGGUAAAAGACACAAUGGAAGUAAAGACAGCUCUGGCUACUCGGAGCCACAAUUCCAGUCUACCCAGACCAUCAAAUACAACCAAACUUCCAUUGCCUGACAGUAAAGAAAAGGGGCCCUGAAGAGAUGCAGGAGCCCAGAUGAACGGUCCUUGACUGGAUCCAAUGAGAAUGUUAAGAGGAGUCGUGUUGAGAGCACUAGCACCAUUGGCAAGCCCCUGAAGACUUCCACUCCCCGCACACAAACCAGCUUUAAGGUACCCAGUGGAAACACAAAAGCACGCCGAG